CCUACGGGUGGCAGCAGUGAGGAAUAUUGGUCAAUGGCCGGAAGUCUGAACCAGCCAUGCCGCGUGAAGGUCAGUGCCCUAUGGGCGUUACACUUCUUUUGUGCGGGAGCAAUAAUGGUCACGUGUGGCCAUACGCGAGUACCGUACGAAUAAGCAUCGGCUAACUCCGUGCCAGCAGCCGCGGUAAUACGGGGGAUGCAAGCGUUAUCCGGAUUUAUUGGGUUUAAAGGGUGCGUAGGCGGUUUGAUAAGUUAGAGGUGAAAUACCGGUGCUCAACACCGGAACUGCCUCUAAUACUGUUGAACUAGAGAGUAGUUGCGGUAGGCGGAAUGUAUGGUGUAGCGGUGAAAUGCUUAGAGAUCAUACAGAACACCGAUUGCGAAGGCAGCUUACCAAACUAUAUCUGACGUUGAGGCACGAAAGCGUGGGUAGCAAACAGGAUUAGAUACCCCGGUAGUC
Molecule: ribosomal RNA, 459 nt
Filed under: uncultured bacterium
Lineage: Bacteria
Description: partial 16S ribosomal RNA
Rfam family: Bacterial small subunit ribosomal RNA
Source: RNAcentral